RNAcentral lists this ribosomal RNA (253 nucleotides) under uncultured bacterium. RNAcentral describes it as "partial 16S ribosomal RNA". It matches the Rfam family "Bacterial small subunit ribosomal RNA", at positions 524 to 776 of the family's 1533-position model. The record is from RNAcentral.
UACAGAGGGUGCGAGCGUUAAUCGGAAUUACUGGGCGUAAAGCGUGCGUAGACGGUUAUUUAAGUCGGGUGUGAAAGCCCCGGGCUCAACCUGGGAAUUGCAUUCGAGACUGAAUAGCUAGGGUACGGUAGAGGGAAGCGGAAUUUCCGGUGUAGCGGUGAAAUGCGUAGAUAUCUGGAGGAACAUCGGUGGCGAAGGCGGCAUCCUGGACCGGUAUUGACGCUGAGGCGCGAAAGCCAGGGGAGCAAACGGG